AUGGAGGUAUCAAAAAGCUUCCUCGUGGGCUAUUUAGAUUCUCUCUUGACGCUAAAUUACUCUGAGGAAGAGCGGAUGAAGGGGAAACAGGUCAUUCCUUACGAUCAGGUUAUGUUGCCUCGCGAACGAGCGGAACCAGUGGCGAAUGCUCUCUGGACGGUGCCAGUGGAAGGUUGGGCAAAACUAAAUACUGAUGGAUCCUGGUCGGCCGAUGGGGGUGCAGGUGCUGGGAUGGUCCUUCGAGACAGCACGGGCCAGAUCAUCUUUACAUCAUGCAGGGUGCUUUACUCUUGCAGGAACGCCCUGGAAGCAGAGCUCAGUGCGUGUAUGGAGGGAUUAUCAGUUGCAAUUCAGAGAACGGAGCUACCUAUACAUAUUGAGAUGGAUUCCUUACAAGCUGUGAGGAUGAUUAACGAGGGGGCCACUGAUAGAUCGUGGUGGAGCGUCGGCAUGACCAACCCGGGCGCUGGCUCCCCUUCCCAAGUGAAAUUGUCCCUCCGUUUCUUUAGUUGCCCCCCCCCUCCCCCGCCCCAAAGUUUGGUGUACGCUCCGCCGCUGCUUCCCAUGCCGAUGUUCAUAUUGCUGUAA
This 588-nucleotide ribosomal RNA is filed under the name Triticum aestivum (bread wheat). Its description in RNAcentral is "partial small subunit ribosomal RNA". Lineage: Eukaryota; Viridiplantae; Streptophyta; Magnoliopsida; Poales; Poaceae. The record is from RNAcentral.